GGAAGGAUAGCGAAGUGGCUAAACGCGGCGGACUGUAAAUCCGCUCCUUUUGGUUCGGGAGUUCGAAUCUCUCUCCUUCCA
RNAcentral lists this transfer RNA (81 nucleotides) under Lactobacillales bacterium. RNAcentral's name for it is "tRNA-Tyr". It matches the Rfam family "tRNA". Rfam says of the family: Transfer RNA (tRNA) molecules are approximately 80 nucleotides in length. Lineage: Bacteria; Bacillati; Bacillota; Bacilli; Lactobacillales. The record is from RNAcentral.